RNAcentral lists this long non-coding RNA (1954 nucleotides) under Salmo salar (Atlantic salmon). RNAcentral's name for it is "lncRNA (ENSSSAG00000090789.1)". Lineage: Eukaryota; Metazoa; Chordata; Actinopteri; Salmoniformes; Salmonidae. The record is from RNAcentral.
CCAAGAAGGAGAGUGAUGGAGUGCUGCAUCAGAUGACCUGGCCUCCACAAUCACCCGACCUCAACCCAGUUGAGAUGGUUUGGGAUGAGUUGGACCGCAGAGUGAAGGAAAAGCAGCCAACAAGUGCUCAGCAUAUGUGGGAACUCCUUCAAGACUGUUGGAAAAGUAUUCAAGACUGAGGAGCAGGCUCUGGAGGUCCAGUCGGGGCUGUCUCUGUUUGGCCAGGCCCUGGGUGCUGUGCGGGAGUCAGUGAGCCGUGCUGCCGUGCAGAGCCUCAUCGACAACAACAAGAGCAACAUCCACAGCCUGGGCCAGGUGCUGCGCAGCCUCCACAUCAAGGUGACUCACUGAGGAUUGUGGGUGUCUCGUCUACAGCAUGACCAGUGGAUGGGACUGUGGGUGUCUCGUCUACAGCAUGACCAGUGGAUGGGACUGUGGGUGUCUCGUCUACAGCAUGACCAGUGGAUAGGACUGUGGGUGUCUCGUCUACAGCAUGACCAGUGGAUGGGACUGUGGGUGUCUCGUCUACAGCAUGACCAGUGUAUGGGACUGUGGGUGUCUCGUCUACAGCAUGACCAGUGGAUGGGACUGUGGGUGUCUCGUCUACAGCAUGACCAGUGGAUGGGACUGUGGGUGUCUCGUCUACAGCAUGACCAGUGGAUAGGACUGUGGGUGUCUCGUCUACAGCAUGACCAGUGGAUGGGACUGUGGUGUGAACAGGGGUUCCGUGUGGCUCAGUUGGUAAAGCAUGGUGCAAUGCCAGGGUUGUGGUUUCGAUCCCCAUGGGGGACCAGUAUGGAAAAAGUAUGCACUCGCUGCUGUAAGAGUGUUUCCUGAAAUGUAAGCAGUUUGUUACGUAAGACCAGGAAAUGUUCCUGGUCUGAUCAACUGGCCAGGGAAAAACUUCUGUCUCUUUCUCUUUUUAUUGGAUGUGUCUCAGUGUGCACAUACUGUUCCUCCACAGCAGAGAGUCUAGUUAUAGAUAGGAGUUCUUGGAAAAUUCAUAGACCAUGGGUACAGUCAGUCAGAUGUUCCUCUCCCCUCAGCAUGCCACCACCUGCCUGCUGUGCUUUGUUUGCUUCUCUGUCAGAAGCCAGUAACUUUUCAGGGUAGGGCAGUUCAGUGACUGAGACGGCAUUGAGCAGGCCAGACAUAGCAGUGGCUUCUAUUUGGCUGCAUACCGUUUGGCAUGGAUUAGCGGGGCGGGAAGAAAACCUGGAAUAGAACCCCUUCCACAGAACAGAUGAGUGGUGCUUUCUUUUUAUGGUUUGUAUGUUAACCCUUGUUCUUGCUGUCAUCCAUUGAACAGGACCUGUCCCUCUCUCCAGUGCCAGCAGGAAGUGACUCAGCGACCAGGAAGGUGUCGUCCCUAUCCGAGCUGUUCCGUGUCCACACCAACUUCCUACGAGGGAAGGUUCGCCUGCUGCUCACCAACGCACCUGCCUGUCAACAGAACAGCACGUGAUUGGAGCUUUCCCUGAAGGCAGAGGCUGGGAUUGGACUGUUGUUUAGAGAGAGGAUGAGGUCAUUGGACUUCUGCUGAAAUCUCUGAAUGGACUUCGAAGUAUGGAAUGUGUAGACAAGGUGAUUGUUGACUGGAUAAAAACUGGUGGGAAAGUCAGUUGAUGUGGGUGGUGCUGAUGAGAAACCAUGAACGAGUGAGAGAAAAAAACAUCACUUCUACAACUCAUUGACCUCAUCGGUUCCUAGUACUACCUGUCAGUACCACAAUGAGCUCUGAUGCAUGCAGCGGGAAUAAGCUACAGACAGUACCCGCUGGGCACAGACGUCAAUUCAAUGUCUAUUCCACGUUGGUUCAACCUAAUUUCAUUGAAAUGACGUGGAAACAAUGUUGAUUCAACCAGUUUGUGCCCAGUGGGUACAGAUCAUAUAUAAUGUCCUAAAUCCAAAGAUUCGAUUUUUCAUUUUAUUUAUACAUUGUCUUAAAAUGUGU